Molecule: long non-coding RNA, 1818 nt
Organism: Numida meleagris (helmeted guineafowl)
Lineage: Eukaryota; Metazoa; Chordata; Aves; Galliformes; Numididae
Source: Ensembl
AGAGAUUGUGACUGGAAAUUGGGGGAGGUCGGACUGGAAGUGGGGGGGGCAGACUGUAAGUGGGGGUGAAGACCAGAAGUUGGUGGGGUUAGACCGGAAGUUGGUGGUUCUGAGAGGAAAUUGGAAGGGGUCGGGGUGGAAGUGGGAGGUUCCGACUGGAAAUGGAAAAUUUGGAGCCAAAGUUGGACCGGAACUUGAGAGUUCUGAUUGGAAAUUGGGGGGGUCAGACUGGAAGUGGGGGGGUUCUGACUGGAAAUUGGGGGGCGUUGGACAGGAAGUAGAGGGCUCAGACCGGAACUUGUGGUUUCUGCCUGGAAACCGAGGGUUCAAACUGAAAGUGGGGGGGUUGGACCGGAAGUGGGAGGGUUGGACCGGAAGUGGGGCGCCUGGAUUGGAAUCUGGCAGUUCCGGCUGGAAGUUGGAGGUUCAGGCUGGAAAUCAGGGGGUUCUGACCGGAAAUCGGGGGAUUCUGACUGGGAACUGGGAGCUUCUGACCGGAAGUGGGGGGUUCUGACUGGAAGUGGGGGGGCCCUGAUUGGAAACUGGGGGUUCAGACUGGAAACUGGGGGCGGGGGGGGGCUGGACCGGACGUGAAGGAGUGUUCCGACCGGAAGUUGGUGUUCUGAACCGGAAGUGAGGGCUGGACCGGAAGUUUGGGUUCUGAACAGGAAGUGAGGGCUGGACCGGAAGUGAAUGCGUAUUCUGACCGGAAGUGGGGUCUGAACCGGAAGUUGGUCCCCGCUGACCGGAAGGAGCCUCCAUCACCGCACAGCGCCAUGGAGAGCGGAGAGCAGAGACCCUCCCGUGGCGGUGACACGGAGUUGCCCACCCCACAGCCACCGGGGGCUCCACAGGUGGAGGCGCUGCUGGGACAGAUCCAUGCUCUGCACCGGGGCUGCCAGGCUGGGGCGCAGGAGCUGGCACGGACACAGGAGAGGAGCGAGGAGAUGAGACAGCACCUGGAACAGCUGGAGGAGCGGCAGGCGGAGCUGCAGGCGCUGUGGCAGCAGCAGCAGGAGGUGCUGCGCGUGGCACGGUCACGCUGGCAGGAGGUGGAGGCUGAAGGACAAAGGGAGGACUUCGUGCAGCAGCUGGAGACGCUGAUGGACGAGCACAAGCGGCUGCAGCGCCAGCACGUGAGAGCCCGCCCCACAUCUCACCCCACAGCGCCCCACAUUGCCCCGCAGCGCCUCAUGUGUCACCCCACAGCGUCCAACUUCACCCCACAUGUCACCCCAUGUUACCCCACAGCGCCCCACAGCGCCCCUCAUUGCCCCGCUGCACCCCACGUCACCCCACUGCGCCCGACGUGUCACCCCACGUCACCCCACAGUGCCCCACUGCGCCCCACAUCUCACCCCACUGCGCCCCACUACACCCCACAUCUCACCCCACUGUGCCCCACUGCGCCCCAUGUCACCCCACAGCGCCCCACAGUGCCCCACGUGUCACCUCAUGUCACCCCACAUUGCUCCACAGCGCCCCACAUUUCCCCACGUGUCACCCCACACCAACCCACAUUGCCCCACAGCGCCCCACGUGUCACUCCUUGUCACCCCUUGUCACCCCCCGUGUCCCCACAGUCCCCGGUGGCGCUGGUGGCCGCGCUGUCCCAGCUGCAGCUGACACGGGAUGAGCUGCUGAACCAGGGUGAGCACACAUGGCCCCAAAUGUCCCCAGACAGCCAUGCAAUGUCCCCAAAUGUCCCCAAAUAUUCAUAUAAUGUCUCCAAAUGUUCCCAGAUAUCCAUGCAAUGUCCCCAAAUGUCCCCAAAUGUCCCCAGAUAUCCAUGCAAUAUCCCCCCAAUGUCCCCAAAUA